This 220-nucleotide ribosomal RNA is filed under the name uncultured bacterium. RNAcentral's name for it is "partial 16S ribosomal RNA". It matches the Rfam family "Bacterial small subunit ribosomal RNA", at positions 57 to 305 of the family's 1533-position model. The record is from RNAcentral.
GCAAGUCGAGCGCACUUUUCGGAGUGAGCGGCGGACGGGUUAGUAACGCGUGGGAACAUACCCUUUUCUGCGGAAUAGCCAUUGGAAACGAUGAGUAAUACCGCAUACGCCCUUCGGGGGAAAGAUUUAUCGGUGAAGGAUUGGCCCGCGUUAGAUUAGAUAGUUGGUGGGGUAAUGGCCUACCAAGUCUACGAUCUAUAGCUGGUUUGAGAGGAUGAUC